This is a long non-coding RNA of Felis catus (domestic cat), 473 nucleotides long. RefSeq lists it as uncharacterized. The transcript is spliced from 2 exons. The record is from RefSeq and is a predicted model, not a curated record. NCBI's taxonomy places the organism in Eukaryota, Metazoa, Chordata, Mammalia, Carnivora, Felidae.
GACACCCCACCUGGGCCUCCUGAGGUCCCCCCAGGCCAGGGACCUUUCUGGAGGGGACCGGGAGCUGCUCCAGGCAAAACUGGUGGGCAGCGUAGGAGGAAGCACAGGAGCCCUCUUCCGAGAGCACAGCAUGACAGAUACAAGCAGCUGACCUCUGGUCCGAGAUUAGAUCCCAAACCGGGAAGGCUGUUUUCUCUAGGCUCUAAUACUGGGACAAGUGGUGAAAAUGAAGCGUGAACUGUUGAGCACUACACUGAGAGAAAAUCGUGACUCAGAGGAACUGGGCUUUGAAGGUCACACAGGAACAAGACCACAGUGGGCGUUCGCCUGGGUGCAGACACCUCCAAAGCCUGAAUUUUCUACACGAUACCUGAGAGAUGUUUAUGACCUUGCACAGAUUCUACAAAAUUCUAAACGUUCUAAAGUUUUGGGCACUAAUAAGAUAACACUCAACUUCCUUCUUAAAAAAAGAA